Non-coding RNA from Pterocles gutturalis (yellow-throated sandgrouse), 46 nucleotides. The record is from Rfam. NCBI's taxonomy places the organism in Eukaryota, Metazoa, Chordata, Aves, Pterocliformes, Pteroclidae.
UCAAAGGCUCUUUUCAGAGCCGCCCACGACAGUCAGAAAAGGUUGA